CAAAUCUGAAAGGGCUAGCCACCUGCCCCCGUAUCGAGCCUUGGGCCCAUGGCGGAGUAUUGUAAGCGAUACGAACAAGAUGGACUAAGCGUAGGCAGAGAAUCCUUGAGAUCGUAGGGGAGAUCGCUCCCUUGCGUGCUGGAACAGCUUCGAAAUGAAUAUUUGCGGACGUCGAGGGUUUCUGAGCCCCCGAAGACAAUACGAAGCAUCCGAAAAUGGCGAGGAUGUGGAGGUCCGCCGGAGUCGA
This 247-nucleotide non-coding RNA is filed under the name Candidatus Kentrum sp. MB. The record is from RNAcentral. Lineage: Bacteria; Pseudomonadati; Pseudomonadota; Gammaproteobacteria.